This 250-nucleotide ribosomal RNA is filed under the name uncultured Staphylococcus sp. RNAcentral describes it as "partial 16S ribosomal RNA". It matches the Rfam family "Bacterial small subunit ribosomal RNA", at positions 90 to 334 of the family's 1533-position model. Lineage: Bacteria; Bacillati; Bacillota; Bacilli; Caryophanales; Staphylococcaceae. The record is from RNAcentral.
CGUUAGCGGCGGACGGGUGAGUAACACGUGGGUAACCUACCUAUAAGACUGGGAUAACUCCGGGAAACCGGGGCUAAUACCGGAUAAUACAUGAAACCGCAUGGUUUCAUGAUGAAAGACGGUUUUGCUGUCACUUAUAGAUGGACCCGCGGCGUAUUAGCUAGUUGGUAAGGUAACGGCUCACCAAGGCAACGAUACGUAGCCGACCUGAGAGGGUGAUCGGCCACACUGGAACUGAGACACGGUCCAG